AUACGUAGGUGACAAGCGUUAUCCGGAUUUACUGGGUGUAAAGGGCGUGUAGGCGGUUUAGCAAGUCAGAAGUGAAAUUCCCGGGCUUAACUUGGGCGCUGCUUCUGAAACUGCUUUACUUGAGUGCUGGAGAGGAUAGUGGAAUUCCUAGUGUAGCGGUAAAAUGCGCAGAUAUUAGGAGGAACACCGGUGGCGAAGGCGGCUAUCUGGACAGUAACUGACGCCGAGGCGCGAAAGCACGGGGAGCAAACAGGAUUAGAUACCCUGGUAGUCCGUGCCGUAAACGAUGAAUACUAGGUGUAGGGGGUAUCGACUCCCUCUGUGCCGCAGUUAACACAUUAAGUAUUCCACCUGGGGAGUACGGCCGCAAGGUUGAAACUCAAAGGAAUUGACGGGG
Molecule: ribosomal RNA, 397 nt
Filed under: uncultured bacterium
Lineage: Bacteria
Description: partial 16S ribosomal RNA
Rfam family: Bacterial small subunit ribosomal RNA
Source: RNAcentral